CCUACGGGUGGCAGCAGUGGGGAAUAUUGGACAAUGGGCGAAAGCCUGAUCCAGCCAUGCCGCGUGUGUGAAGAAGGUCUUCGGAUUGUAAAGCACUUUAAGUUGGGAGGAAGGGCAUUAACCUAAUACGUUAGUGUUUUGACGUUACCGACAGAAUAAGCACAGGCUAACUUCGUGCCAGCAGCCGCGGUAAUACGAAGGGUGCAAGCGUUAAUCGGAAUUACUGGGCGUAAAGCGGGCGUAGGGGGUUUGUUAAGUUGAAUGUGAAAGCCCCGGGCUCAACCUGGGAACUGCAUCCAAAACUGGCAAGCUAGAGUAUGGCAGAGGGUGGUGGAAUGUCCUGUGUAGCGGUGAAAUGCGUAGAUAUAGGAAGGAACACCAGUGGCGAAGGCGACCACCUGGGCUAAUACUGACACUGAGGUGCGAAAGCGUGGGGAGCAAACAGGAUUAGAUACCCGAGUAGUC
Molecule: ribosomal RNA, 465 nt
Filed under: uncultured Pseudomonadaceae bacterium
Lineage: Bacteria; Pseudomonadati; Pseudomonadota; Gammaproteobacteria; Pseudomonadales; Pseudomonadaceae
Description: bacterial SSU rRNA
Rfam family: Bacterial small subunit ribosomal RNA
Source: RNAcentral